UACGUAGGGGGCAAGCGUUAUCCGGAAUCAUUGGGCGUAAAGCGCGUGUAGGCGGUUCCGUAAGUCCGCUCUGAAAGCCCAGGGCCUACCACCGUGGAGGCGGGUGGAUACUACGGAACUGGAGUACGGAAGAGGAGAUUGGAAUUCCUGGUGUAGCGGUGAAAUGCGCAGAUAUCAGGAGGAACACCAACAGCGAAGGCAGAUCUCUGGGACGUUACUGACGCUGAGACGCGAAAGCGUGGGGAGCGAACAGG
RNAcentral lists this ribosomal RNA (254 nucleotides) under uncultured bacterium. Its description in RNAcentral is "partial 16S ribosomal RNA". It matches the Rfam family "Bacterial small subunit ribosomal RNA", at positions 524 to 776 of the family's 1533-position model. The record is from RNAcentral.